CACACCUGGUAUCAGUGAUCUGCAAUAAAUGGUGUAUAUGAGAAACCUUCGUUAAGUCCCAAGGGUGACAGGGUUUUGAGCUUAUAGAUCCAGAAGCUCUCCCUUUGGAGUAGCUUCUUGUCUAAAUCCCCCCCUCUUGGUCCCAAGGUAACCCUUUCAAUACCACUAAAUCUGAUUCCUUCAGAUGAGCCCCCAUGAUGUAGU
Molecule: non-coding RNA, 204 nt
Organism: Pelobates cultripes (western spadefoot toad)
Lineage: Eukaryota; Metazoa; Chordata; Amphibia; Anura; Pelobatidae
Source: the annotation of a GenBank genome assembly